GCGGACACUGAGGCUCGCGGAGCACGUAUCAGAGCUGGGAGUCAUGGUGGUCGCCAAUCGUAAGCACGUUGCGGUGAGAGGCUCGGAUAAGUUAGCCAAGUUCGAUACUGCAGUUACAAAUAUCCGGCCGACGUUGAUACUGAGCCAAGAUGAAGUUCAGUUGGAAAUCAUACGAUGAAUUGAGAAAUGGGAGCUUAAGAAUGGAGAGGGGAUGUUGAAGCACAUACAGCGAGAAGUUAUGGAGGAGAAAACGCUUGUAGAAGAAGGAGAGUUAUUUAGUGCUUAGGUUUGAAGGUUGCUUUGGAAAGUGUGAAGUGAAAGUCAAGUAAAUAAUGGCAGUGUUCCGCUUCAUACUUUAUUUUGGCUGUCAUUUUCCUUUCAUGUUAAGCUCCACUAGCCCUGAACUGCCGCGUUUCGUAACUUCUAUGAAAGAUGAUUCUUGCUCUAUUCUUUUCUACCUUCAAAGAUUUUUCCAGGUGUCUUCAUAUUUUCUUGCUUCAAAUGCGAAGUAAAUCAAAAGUCACCUCAUGAAUGGUGAAAGCAUCUCACACAAGUUGCGUGAUCGUGAGUACGCGGGCCUUGGAAAACCUGUAUCAAUAUAGCACCACAACUUGGACGUACAGCUGCGCACGAGGCCAUUUUCAAUCUACAACGCAGAGAACAGUAACACAACAGGACAUGAGGUUGGACUCUCUUUUCAGUUCGGCCUUCGUAGCUAUGAACUUUCAGUAAGUCUUUCCCAUGACAAUCGACGAGGGAAAACGAUGUGUAUAUGAGAAAUCUCCGCUGAGACGGACCAUUCUCAGAAAACUUGGCGUAAAUCCAAAGCGCAACAGAGACCAAUUCGAAUAGUUGCAUCUGGGAGUGAAAUCACGGAAGAGAAAAGGACAGCGGCAAGGGAGCAGAAAUUGGAAUGAAGUGGAAGAGACGCACAGGGAGAGGGAGGUGAAUGGAGCGGAUUGCGCAACAAUCGAGUUUGUUGCAAAAAGGGGAGGGGUCCAUGUGCAUCCAUCCUUUCGUUCCUGGAACUUGGUAGAUUAGGAGCUACGCAACAACAACGCUUGCAACAGAAGCAGCAGGAGCUCCAUGUGGCCAGGCAUUCAUCCAAAUAUCCAUCCAUCCAUGUAGAUCUUCAUCCAUCCAAUCCAGGUCUCACGAGGAGAGAGCAGAAGGAACGCUGGAUGAGUGGGGGAGGGGAGGACAUUGAUGGGUGACGUAGACAAUCAUGUAGACUGUUAACAUAAUAAAUAUUAUUGGAAAAUUUACAAAAGCUACAUUUAUAAAAUAUAUAUAUAUAGUUAAAUUUUUAUAGUAGGGUAAGAAGAUCACCCAAAUAUUUAACCAUUGUUGAGAUCUUUAUAAUCAUAAUCAAUAUUUGAAUGGCA
Physcomitrium patens is the source of this 1385-nucleotide long non-coding RNA. RefSeq lists it as uncharacterized. NCBI's taxonomy places the organism in Eukaryota, Viridiplantae, Streptophyta, Bryopsida, Funariales, Funariaceae. The record is from RefSeq and is a predicted model, not a curated record.